RNAcentral lists this long non-coding RNA (2387 nucleotides) under Podarcis lilfordi (Lilford's wall lizard). Lineage: Eukaryota; Metazoa; Chordata; Lepidosauria; Squamata; Lacertidae. The record is from RNAcentral.
GACCUGUUAGAAAACAAUUUGAAAUUAUUGUCGAAAAUGUAUAAAUUGCUCUUGGAAUGGUAUGCAAAAGAUGAACAGGUUAAAUUUGUAAUGAUACACUGGGCAACGGAUUUGGGGCAUAAUAUUCAGGUUUCAGAUUGGGAAAGGCUACGGAAAACAGAUUUGAAAUUCACAGCAUGUUGUACGCUGAAAAAAAUUUAUAUGAAAAUCAUGUACCAGUGGUAUUUGACUCCUAGCAAGUGAGCAAAAAUGUAUAAAGCAAGUACAAAUACCUGCUGGAAAUGUAAAGAAAAAGAAGGUACCUUUUAUCAUAUGUGGUGGCCACGUAAGGUAGUAAAAGCUUUCUGGGAAAUGAUAUACAGUGGUACCUCAGGUUACAGACGCUUCAGGUUAUAUACGCUUCAGGUUACAGACUCCGCUAACCCAGAAAUAGUACCUCGGUGUCAGGGAACUGACAUCGGAGCGAGAGGCGAAGGGGAGGCUCCUAGAUGAUGCUGGCGAAGGACCCAGCAGCAGGGGGAGAAACAGCUCAGUAGAGGGGGAAGCAAAUCAGCGCAACACCAGGGAUAAAGGGGGGCAGAUGGGGGAAGCGGAGAGAGGGCUCCAGGACUCUUCACUGGACCUCAGUGAGGAGGGGACAGGUCCUCCGCUACCCACGCCCUCCCUGCGCAGAAGACUCCCGCGCAAUGAGAGGAGGAGGAGACUGGGGGUCAAACAACUUUUAUGUUGGAAGAGGUUCAAGAAACACCCACUGAUGGAUUCUGCCAGCGACUGAGGCAGUCAUGAUUAGAAAGGGCUGUGCAGUCAGAAAGGUUUAACAAGGCAAAUCAGCCUAGAGAGGCACCAGUUUACGCACGAGUAACUCAUACCCAUUACACUCGGGUUAAGAACUUUGCUUCAGGAUGAGAACAGAAAUCGUGUAGCGGCGACGCGGCAGCAGCAGGAGUCCCCAUUAGCUAAAGUGGUGCUUCAGGUUAAGAACAGUUUCAGGUUAAGAACGGACCUCUGGAACGAAUUAAGUACGUCAUCAGAGGUACCACUGUAUAAUAAAUUGAAAAAAAUGUUUAAAAUAACUUUUGUAAAAACAAACAAACCAGAAGCUUUUCUAUUAGGAACUGUAGACACUGAUAUUCUAAAGCAGGCAUAGGCAAACUCGGCCCUCCAGAUGUUUUGAGACUACAAUUCCCAUCAUCCCUGACCACUAGUCCUGUUAGCUAGGGAUGAUGGGAGUGUUAGGAUAUUUCCGUUCCACCUUAAAAGGGAGCAGGCUUUGUGAGUCAGAGUCUGCGCAUGUCCUGUUCACAGGAUGUUUAUGUUUGCUAUUGCUUUCGUUUCUCUCUAUGUCUGGAGACAUCGAUGCAGGCAGUCAUGGUUUUCUUUGUUCUGAUCAACGCUGAAUAAAACUUGUAAAUAAUGCUCUCCUGAGUGCAACUUUUGGCUGUGCAUUAUCUGCUGAUAGAGUGUGCAUGAGCUCUGGAAUGUGGCAAGCUAUUUCUAGAAACUCAUGUCACUAAUUGCUGAUACCGCGUGACUACGGGAGAUCGAUGGAUCGUCCGGCAGCCGGCUUGGGGGCCAUGAUGGACUUUGUCUCCCUGGCAGUAUCCCAACAGGGAGUUGUAGUCCCAAAACAACUGGAGGGCCGAGUUUGCCCAUGUCUGCUCUAUACCAUCUAGAUGGAUCACGGUCUUGAAGCAUAGAGGCUGAAAAGGAAUUUGAUGUUGUUCUGUAAUGUACUUUCAGCCAGGCCUUGGUUAUAAUGAGCCAUGUGUUGGUUUCCAUCAGAUGAACCAGGAAGGGACCAUCCCCAGGCGGGCGAAGCGAAAAAUAUUUCUUGGCAUCCUUAACUGGACGAAGGCCGGGCUCACCAGUGGCUGGGAAGAAGAUCCCCCCCCCCACAUGCCGAGCAAGCUGAGACCCUCAACUCCCAUGCCCAGGGGGUGCAGACUGCGACCGGGGCAAACUGGACUGGAAUGCCUGCUGUAUCAUGCACUCAUACUCCUAGGCCGACCCCUGGGACUGGCUGGGACUGGGAUCCUAGAAGGCUGGAAUUGGGAGAACAAGGCACCAGAGGAAUCAAAAGCCUCACUCCCUUCACUCGUGUCAGAGGGACCAUGAGCCUCAAAAACAGUAGACAAGGUGGAAGGGCCAGGCUGCCUUGGAUGCUUUAGCUGAGAUUCCUGCAUUGCAGGGGGUUAAACAAGAUGACCCUUGGGUCCUUUCCAGCUGUAUGAUUCUAUGAAUGCCAGAGUCUUUCUUUUCAAAGAUUGGGGAGAUGCUUAACAAUACAAUAUAUAGACUUUGUAGCAGGUUUGCUUGCAAAGUGCUGUAAGACUGAAGAUUUGAGGCUGGACCUCCAAGUCUGAAGGGAGGGGGGGGGGGUUCCUCCA